GAGCAUUGAUUGAAGUUUUUCCAUUUUUGUACAGCCUAUUUUUCCCACUACAUGUUUCAUAAAACUAGUGGUACAAUGUUAGCAUGCUACACUAAAAAUCUACCUUUGAGUAGGGAUUAUGACAAAUAAAACAAGUAGCACUCUACACUAACAAUCUACCUUUGGGUGGGGAGUAUGACAAAUAAAAUAAGCCACAUAUUGUUGGGUAAGAUAUCAUUUUUCUUUUCUU
RNAcentral lists this unclassified non-coding RNA (229 nucleotides) under Hevea brasiliensis (rubber tree). The record is from RNAcentral. Lineage: Eukaryota; Viridiplantae; Streptophyta; Magnoliopsida; Malpighiales; Euphorbiaceae.